Cebus imitator (Panamanian white-faced capuchin) is the source of this 391-nucleotide long non-coding RNA. RefSeq lists it as uncharacterized. NCBI's taxonomy places the organism in Eukaryota, Metazoa, Chordata, Mammalia, Primates, Cebidae. The transcript has 3 exons. The record is from RefSeq and is a predicted model, not a curated record.
CCCAUGGUUUGCCCUCCGAAUCUGUGGCAGCGGGCACCUGUUCACACAGCUGAACAAGCUCGCUCACGCCAAACCUGCAACACAAAACACCGGGAGUCAUCGCCACUCUGCAUGGAGGCUGUCAUCAUGUGCCGAUGCUCUGACCCGUGCAAACUCCUGCUGCAGGGCCAAGGCCACCACAGCGUCGCUCCCUGGGGCAGGGAGCCCAGGCCCAUCCCCUGCGGAGAAGCACCAAAGAUCUGUGAGGACAAAGUCCAAAAACAAGCUCACCCUCAGACCUCUGCUCUGUCGGCUCUUGCAGACCAUGGGGAGCAGAUGAAGCACAAAUAAACCAGAACGCAGCUCCACACUGCAGGCCAGGCUGGAAUACAGUGGCGUGAUCUCGGCUCAC